Molecule: ribosomal RNA, 469 nt
Filed under: uncultured organism
Description: bacterial SSU rRNA
Rfam family: Bacterial small subunit ribosomal RNA
Source: RNAcentral
AGUGAACGCUGGCGGCGUGCUUAACACAUGCAAGUCGAACGAGAACGGAUUAUAGCUUGCUAUAAUUGUCAGCUAAGUGGCGCACGGGUGAGUAAUGUAUAGAUAACCUGCCCUCUAGAAAGGAAUAACAGUUGGAAACGACUGCUAAUGCCCUAUAUGCCUUUAAUACAUAAGUAUGCAAGGGAAACGCUUUAGUGCUAGAGGAUGGGUCUGUAUGGUAUCAGCUAGUUGGUGAGGUAAUGGCUCACCAAGGCUAUGACGCCUAACUGGUUUGAGAGGAUGAUCAGUCACACUGGAACUGAGACACGGUCCAGACUCCUACGGGAGGCAGCAGUGGGGAAUAUUGCACAAUGGACGAAAGUCUGAUGCAGCAACGCCGCGUGGAGGAUGACACAUUUCGGUGCGUAAACUCCUUUUAUAUAGGAAGAUAAUGACGGUACUAUAUGAAUAAGCACCGGCUAACUCCGUG